CUUAGAAACCCUGCUAGUACUGCCCUUAGGUUGGUACCUGGAUAUUUCAUGAGCCUACACUUUCUGACACAAGUUCCUCAAAUUUUCAUGAUUCCCAGCUCACAUCUGGAGAUCUCAAUACAAAGCAGCAGGGAGGAGAGAUCGGUCAAGCAGGAGAUGAGAAGAUGACUGUAGUAGCACCUGUAUCCCAUCAGAUGAAGAGCAAAUGUGAUUGACAGUAGAAACCUCAUGAGGGAACAGAGAGGAAAAGCUGGAGGACACCUUUCCCCUGGUAUUUUGCCUCAGUUUCCAGUGGAAACACAGAUUUUGUGUGUUAGAAAAAGCAUAUGUUCAGUACAGCUUAGCAGCUGUAGUAAAACAUUUCUUCCACUGAACAUCCCAUUUAUUUAGAGCCCAGGCCUGAUUUUGUUUUCUUGUAAAAAAACAUUACCUUUUUCUUCAGUCAAAGAGACU
This is a long non-coding RNA of Lagopus leucura (white-tailed ptarmigan), 453 nucleotides long. RefSeq lists it as uncharacterized. NCBI's taxonomy places the organism in Eukaryota, Metazoa, Chordata, Aves, Galliformes, Phasianidae. The record is from RefSeq and is a predicted model, not a curated record. The transcript is spliced from 3 exons.